GGCGACGAUCAGUAGGGGUUCUGAGAGGAAGGUCCCCCACAUUGGAACUGAGACACGGUCCAAACUCCUACGGGAGGCAGCAGUGAGGAAUAUUGGUCAAUGGGCGAGAGCCUGAACCAGCCAAGUAGCGUGCAGGAUGACGGCCCUAUGGGUUGUAAACUGCUUUUAUAGGGGAAUAAAGUGAUCCACGUGUGGUUUUUUGCAUGUACCCUAUGAAUAAGGACCGGCUAAUUCCGUGCCAGCAGCCGCGGUAAUACGGAAGGUCCGGGCGUUAUCCGGAUUUAUUGGGUUUAAAGGGAGCGUAGGCCGGAGAUUAAGCGUGUUGUGAAAUGUAGAUGCUCAACAUCUGCACUGCAGCGCGAACUGGUUUCCUUGAGUACGCAUAAAGUGGGCGGAAUUCGUGGUGUAGCGGUGAAAUGCUUAGAUAUCACGAAGAACUCCGAUUGCGAAGGCAGCUCACUGGGGCGCAACUGACGCUGAAGCUCGAAAGCGCGGGUAUCGAACAGGAUUAGAUACCCUGGUAGUCCGCGCGGUAAACGAUGGAUGCCCGCUGUUGGGCCAACUGGUUCAGCGGCCAAGCGAAAGCAUUAAGCAUCCCACCUGGGGAGUACGCCGGCAACGGUGAAACUCAAAGGAAUUGACGGGGGCCCGCACAAGCGGAGGAACAUGUGGUUUAAUUCGAUGAUACGCGAGGAACCUUACCCGGGCUUGAAUUGCAGAGGAAGGAUUUGGAGACAAUGACGCCCUUCGGGGCCUCUGUGAAGGUGCUGCAUGGUUGUCGUCAGCUCGUGCCGUGAGGUGUCGGCUUAAGUGCCAUAACGAGCGCAACCCCUCUCCAUAGUUGCCAUCAGGUUAAGCUGGGCACUCUGUGGACACUGCCACCGUAAGGUGUGAGGAAGGUGGGGAUGACGUCAAAUCAGCACGGCCCUUACGUCCGGGGCUACACACGUGUUACAAUGGCAGGUACAGAGAGCCGGUCGUAUGCAAAUACGAUCCAAUCCUUAAAGCCUGUCUCAGUUCGGACUGGGGUCUGCAACCCGACCCCACGAAGCUGGAUUCGCUAGUAAUCGCGCAUCAGCCAUGGCGCGGUGAAUACGUUCCCGGGCCUUGUACACACCGCCCGUCAAGCCAUGAAAGCCGGGGGCGCCUGAAGUCCGUGACCGCAAGGAUCGGCCUAGGGCGAAACUGGUAAUUGGGGCUAAGUCGUAACAAGGUA
This 1216-nucleotide ribosomal RNA is filed under the name metagenome. RNAcentral describes it as "bacterial SSU rRNA". It matches the Rfam family "Bacterial small subunit ribosomal RNA", at positions 272 to 1498 of the family's 1533-position model. The record is from RNAcentral.